RNAcentral lists this ribosomal RNA (579 nucleotides) under uncultured bacterium. Its description in RNAcentral is "partial 16S ribosomal RNA". It matches the Rfam family "Bacterial small subunit ribosomal RNA", at positions 355 to 932 of the family's 1533-position model. The record is from RNAcentral.
UGGGGAAUUUUGGACAAUGGGCGAAAGCCUGAUCCAGCAAUGCCGCGUGUGUGAAGAAGGCCUUCGGGUUGUAAAGCACUUUUGUCCGGAAAGAAAUCCUUGGCCCUAAUACAGUCGGGGAUGACGGUACCGGAAGAAUAAGCACCGGCUAACUACGUGCCAGCAGCCGCGGUAAUACGUAGGGUGCAAGCGUUAAUCGGAAUUACUGGGCGUAAAGCGUGCGCAGGCGGUUUGCUAAGACCGAUGUGAAAUCCCCGGGCUCAACCUGGGAACUGCAUUGGUGACUGGCAGGCUAGAGUAUGGCAGAGGGGGGUAGAAUUCCACGUGUAGCAGUGAAAUGCGUAGAGAUGUGGAGGAAUACCGAUGGCGAAGGCAGCCCCCUGGGCCAAUACUGACGCUCAUGCACGAAAGCGUGGGGAGCAAACAGGAUUAGAUACCCUGGUAGUCCACGCCCUAAAACGAUGUCAACUAGUUGUUGGGGAUUCAUUUCCUUAGUAACGUAGCUAACGCGUGAAGUUGACCGCCUGGGGAGUACGGUCGCAAGAUUAAAACUCAAAGGAAUUGACGGGGUCAUAGCUG